This 621-nucleotide ribosomal RNA is filed under the name uncultured bacterium. RNAcentral's name for it is "bacterial SSU rRNA". It matches the Rfam family "Bacterial small subunit ribosomal RNA", at positions 239 to 860 of the family's 1533-position model. The record is from RNAcentral.
CAUUAGCUAGUUGGCGGGGUAACGGCCCACCAAGGCGACGAUGGCUAGGGGAUCUGAGAGGAUGGCCCCCCACACUGGUACUGAGACACGGACCAGACUCGUACGGGAGGCAGCAGUAAGGAAUAUUGGUCAAUGGGCGCAAGCCUGAACCAGCCAUGCCGCGUGCAGGAAGACGGCCCUCCGGGUUGUAAACUGCUUUUAUACCGGAAUAAACCUCCCUACGUGUAGGGAGCUGAAUGUACGGUAGGAAUAAGGAUCGGCUAACUCCGUGCCAGCAGCCGCGGUAAUACGGAGGAUCCGAGCGUUAUCCGGAUUUAUUGGGUUUAAAGGGUGCGUAGGCGGCCUGUUAAGUCAGGGGUGAAAGACGGUGGCUCAACCAUCGCAGUGCCCUUGAUACUGACGGGCUUGAAUCAACUAGAGGCAGGCGGAAUGUGACAAGUAGCGGUGAAAUGCAUAGAUAUGUCACAGAACACCGAUUGCGAAGGCAGCUUGCUAUGGUUGUAUUGACGCUGAGGCACGAAAGCGUGGGGAUCAAACAGGAUUAGAUACCCUGGUAGUCCACGCCCUAAACGAUGAACACUCGCUGUUGGCGAUACACGGUCAGCGGCUAAGCGAAAGCGU